GACGAACGCUGGCGGCGUGCUUAACACAUGCAAGUCGAACGGAAAGGCCCUGCUUUUGUGGGGUGCUCGAGUGGCGAACGGGUGAGUAACACGUGAGUAACCUGCCCUUGACUUUGGGAUAACUUCAGGAAACUGGGGCUAAUACCGGAUAGGAGCUCCUGCUGCAUGGUGGGGGUUGGAAAGUUUCGGCGGUUGGGGAUGGACUCGCGGCUUAUCAGCUUGUUGGUGGGGUAGUGGCUUACCAAGGCUUUGACGGGUAGCCGGCCUGAGAGGGUGACCGGCCACAUUGGGACUGAGAUACGGCCCAGACUCCUACGGGAGGCAGCAGUGGGGAAUAUUGCACAAUGGGCGGAAGCCUGAUGCAGCAACGCCGCGUGCGGGAUGACGGCCUUCGGGUAGUAAACCGCUUUCACCUGUGACGAAGCGUGAGUGACGGUAAUGGGUAAAGAAGCACCGGCUAACUACGUG
Molecule: ribosomal RNA, 468 nt
Filed under: uncultured bacterium
Lineage: Bacteria
Description: partial 16S ribosomal RNA
Rfam family: Bacterial small subunit ribosomal RNA
Source: RNAcentral